RNAcentral lists this long non-coding RNA (223 nucleotides) under Elaeis guineensis (African oil palm). Its description in RNAcentral is "long non-coding RNA (EGUI_LNC056024)". Lineage: Eukaryota; Viridiplantae; Streptophyta; Magnoliopsida; Arecales; Arecaceae. The record is from RNAcentral.
CUUUCAAAUCUAUCUCAUAGAUUAUCUUGAUCAUGGUUUUGUUAAAUUGAAAUACACUGAUGCAUAUCUCCUACCAAUUUAGAGUGGUCAAUUCCAUCUUGACUCAUACACUGACUUGAUAAGUACUUGACUGCAUCUAGUAUCCUUCCAUCACUAAGUUAGAUACUCAGAUAGUCCAGUACUAAAGUAUAGUGAGUUGCUUACAAGUCACUGUGGUGGUCUC